GUGCCAGCAGCCGCGGUAAUACGUAGGGUGCGAGCGUUAAUCGGAAUUACUGGGCGUAAAGCGUGCGCAGGCGGAUUGUUAAGCAAGACGUGAAAUCCCCGGGCUUAACCUGGGAAUGGCGUUUUGAACGGGCAGUCUAGAGUGUGUCAGAGGGGGGUGGAAUUCCACGUGUAGCAGUGAAAUGCGUAGAGAUGUGGAGGAACACCGAUGGCGAAGGCAGCCCCCUGGGAUGACACUGACGCUCAUGUACGAAAGCGUGGGUAGCAAACAGGAUUAGAUACCCUGGUAGUCCACGCCCUAAACGAUGUCAACUGGUUGUUGGGGGAGUGAAAUCCCUUAGUAACGAAGCUAACGCGUGAAGUUGACCGCCUGGGGAGUACGGUCGCAAGAUUAAAACUCAAAGGAAUUGACGGGGACCCGCACAAGCGGUGGAUGAUGUGGAUUAAUUCGAUGCAACGCGAAAAACCUUACCUACCCUUGACAUGGCAGGAACUUUCCAGAGAUGGAUUGGUGCUCGAAAGAGAACCUGCACACAGGUGCUGCGUGGCUGUCGUCAGCUCGUGUCGUGAGAUGUUGGGUUAAGUCCCGCAACGAGCGCAACCCUUAUCAUUAGUUGCUACGCAAGGGCACUCUAAUGAGACUGCCGGUGACAAACCGGAGGAAGGUGGGGAUGACGUCAAGUCCUCAUGGCCCUUAUGGGUAGGGCUUCACACGUCAUACAAUGGUCGGUACAGAGGGUUGCCAAGCCGCGAGGUGGAGCCAAUCCCAGAAAGCCGAUCGUAGUCCGGAUUGUUCUCUGCAACUCGAGAGCAUGAAGUCGGAAUCGCUAGUAAUCGCGGAUCAGCAUGUCGCGGUGAAUACGUUCCCGGGUCUUGUACACACCGCCCGUCACACCAUGGGAGUGGAAUCUGCCAGAAGUAGGUAGCCUAACCGCGAGGAGGGCGCUUACCACGGUGGGUUUCAUGACUGGGGUGAAGUCGUAACAAGGUAACC
Molecule: ribosomal RNA, 993 nt
Filed under: uncultured bacterium
Lineage: Bacteria
Description: bacterial SSU rRNA
Rfam family: Bacterial small subunit ribosomal RNA
Source: RNAcentral